Molecule: long non-coding RNA, 894 nt
Organism: Neoarius graeffei (lesser salmon catfish)
Lineage: Eukaryota; Metazoa; Chordata; Actinopteri; Siluriformes; Ariidae
Exons: 3
Source: RefSeq, a predicted model, not a curated record
AUCCUCGCUUGUCCGUUUUUUACAGUAUAAAUUUCCUCUCCCUCCUCCCAUUUUAUUCAUAAAGGAAAGGAAGGAAGAAGGAGAGAGAGAGGUGUCUGCAAAGAGGGUGAUGAAGAGCGAGAGAGAGAGAGAGACAGAAAAAGCACCAGCAGAGAAGGGAGAGCACAAGAAGGGAGCAGGAUUCAGCGAAGAAGACUGUGAUUAAUGAGAGAGAGCAGAAAAAUAAAGUAAGGGAAGAACAUGGGAUGAUGGACAGCCAUACUGGAAAUGAAACCCCAGCUUCUCUCCACUUCACGAUGGAUGCAUCGGACAGAGGGCUGGGGGCUGUUUUGUCCCAGAAGGUGGAGGGUGAGGAACGUCCCGUGCUGUACAUUAGCCGCAAGCUCUCGAUGUGUGAAAUGAGGGUGGAGGAUAGAAAAGGAAGGAGAGAGUGAAGAGAGGGGAUCGCUCCCAACCAGAACACAUGUGGGUGUGCACCUGUCUGUGUAUGUGAGCAGCAAACAAGCAAGUCAAGCUGAAAAGCAACAAAAGUACAAGAAAUAAAGUGGUGUGUGAACAUCAUCUCCCGCCUGCCGUGCUUCAGCACUCCACCCACAUCAGGGGUUUACUACAGUGAUGCUUUGAUGUGUUUCACCCACAUGACAGUGUGAUUGAUUUAGUGUGUGAUAGGCUAGAUGCAUAGCUAUAGCAGUAGUCGUCACUCAGCAGAUUAAGGCUCUGUGUUACUGCUUGAAGGGGUGGGGGUUUGAGCCCCAGCAUUGUUAAUGUGAGACAUCGUUUCUUUAUCUUCCCUUAUUCAGUUUCAUUUUCUAUUAGCAGAAUCAGUUACUGUACAUUAACUGAAACUUCAUUCUGCCGUAGAUGAAACAUGUUCCACAAAGAAAGCACAUUAAA